Molecule: ribosomal RNA, 660 nt
Filed under: uncultured bacterium
Lineage: Bacteria
Description: bacterial SSU rRNA
Rfam family: Bacterial small subunit ribosomal RNA
Source: RNAcentral
AGUGGCGGACGGGUGAGUAACGCGUGAGAAUCUGCCUUGGGGUCGGGGACAACCACUGGAAACGGUGGCUAAUACCGGAUAAGCCGAUUGGUGAAAGAUUUAUUGCCCGAAGAGGAGCUCGCGUCUGAUUAGCUAGUUGGUGAGGUAAGAGCUCACCAAGGCAGCGAUCAGUAGCUGGUCUGAGAGGACGAUCAGCCACACUGGGACUGAGACACGGCCCAGACUCCUACGGGAGGCAGCAGUGGGGAAUUUUCCGCAAUGGGCGAAAGCCUGACGGAGCAAGACCGCGUGAGGGAGGAAGGCUCUUGGGUUGUAAACCUCUUUUCUCAGGGAAGAAGCUCUGACGGUACCUGAGGAAUCAGCCUCGGCUAACUCCGUGCCAGCAGCCGCGGUAAUACGGAGGAGGCAAGCGUUAUCCGGAAUUAUUGGGCGUAAAGCGUCCGCAGGUGGCGAUUCAAGUCUGCUGUCAAAGCACGGGGCUUAACUCCGUAAAGGCAGUGGAAACUGAAUAGCUAGAGUACCGUAGGGGUAGAGGGAAUUCCCGGUGUAGCGGUGAAAUGCGUAGAGAUCGGGAAGAACAUCGGUGGCGAAAGCGCUCUACUGGACGGCAACUGACACUCAGGGACGAAAGCUAGGGGAGCGAAUGGGAUUAGAUACCCC